AUAAUGAUACUCACACUCAAAAUGUGUUCCGCUGCUAACUACAGGGGAAGGUGAAAUUCCUGUGG
Molecule: non-coding RNA, 65 nt
Filed under: Enterococcus faecalis Fly1
Lineage: Bacteria; Bacillati; Bacillota; Bacilli; Lactobacillales; Enterococcaceae
Description: pemK RNA
Rfam family: pemK RNA
Source: RNAcentral